RNAcentral lists this ribosomal RNA (253 nucleotides) under uncultured bacterium. RNAcentral's name for it is "partial 16S ribosomal RNA". It matches the Rfam family "Bacterial small subunit ribosomal RNA", at positions 524 to 776 of the family's 1533-position model. The record is from RNAcentral.
UACGUAGGGACCGAGCGUUGUCCGGAAUCACUGGGCGUAAAGGGCGCGUAGGCGGCUUGAUAAGCGUGCGGUGAAAGCCCGGGGCUCAACCCCGGGUCGGCCGUGCGAACUGUCGAGCUGGAGCACUGUAGAGGCAGGUGGAAUUCCGGGUGUAGCGGUGGAAUGCGUAGAGAUCCGGAAGAACACCGGUGGCGAAGGCGGCCUGCUGGGCAGUGGCUGACGCUGAGGCGCGACAGCGUGGGGAGCAAACAGG